RNAcentral lists this ribosomal RNA (729 nucleotides) under Salmonella enterica subsp. enterica serovar Muenchen. RNAcentral's name for it is "partial 23S ribosomal RNA". It matches the Rfam family "Bacterial large subunit ribosomal RNA", at positions 2202 to 2925 of the family's 2925-position model. RNAcentral also lists the same sequence under 8 other names. The record is from RNAcentral. Lineage: Bacteria; Pseudomonadati; Pseudomonadota; Gammaproteobacteria; Enterobacterales; Enterobacteriaceae.
ACCCUUUAAUGUUUGAUGUUCUAACGUGGACCCGUAAUCCGGGUUGCGGACAGUGUCUGGUGGGUAGUUUGACUGGGGCGGUCUCCUCCUAAAGAGUAACGGAGGAGCACGAAGGUUGGCUAAUCCUGGUCGGACAUCAGGAGGUUAGUGCAAUGGCAUAAGCCAGCUUGACUGCGAGCGUGACGGCGCGAGCAGGUGCGAAAGCAGGUCAUAGUGAUCCGGUGGUUCUGAAUGGAAGGGCCAUCGCUCAACGGAUAAAAGGUACUCCGGGGAUAACAGGCUGAUACCGCCCAAGAGUUCAUAUCGACGGCGGUGUUUGGCACCUCGAUGUCGGCUCAUCACAUCCUGGGGCUGAAGUAGGUCCCAAGGGUAUGGCUGUUCGCCAUUUAAAGUGGUACGCGAGCUGGGUUUAGAACGUCGUGAGACAGUUCGGUCCCUAUCUGCCGUGGGCGCUGGAGAACUGAGGGGGGCUGCUCCUAGUACGAGAGGACCGGAGUGGACGCAUCACUGGUGUUCGGGUUGUCAUGCCAAUGGCACUGCCCGGUAGCUAAAUGCGGAAGAGAUAAGUGCUGAAAGCAUCUAAGCACGAAACUUGCCCCGAGAUGAGUUCUCCCUGAGACUUUAGGUCUCCUGAAGGAACGUUGAAGACGACGACGUUGAUAGGCCGGGUGUGUAAGCGCAGCGAUGCGUUGAGCUAACCGGUACUAAUGAACCGUGAGGCUUAACCUU